Molecule: ribosomal RNA, 435 nt
Filed under: uncultured bacterium
Lineage: Bacteria
Description: bacterial SSU rRNA
Rfam family: Bacterial small subunit ribosomal RNA
Source: RNAcentral
UCGGGAAUUUUGGGCAAUGGGGGAAACCCUGACCCAGCAACGCCGCGUGAAGGAUGAAGUAUUUCGGUAUGUAAACUUCGAAAGAAUAGGAAGAAUAAAUGACGGUACUAUUUUAUAAGGUCCGGCUAACUACGUGCCAGCAGCCGCGGUAAUACGUAGGGACCAAGCGUUGUUCGGAUUUACUGGGCGUAAAGGGCGCGUAGGCGGCAUGACAAGUCACUUGUGAAAUCUCUGGGCUUAACCCAGAACGGCCAAGUGAUACUGUCGCGCUAGAGUGCAGAAGGGGCAAUCGGAAUUCUUGGUGUAGCGGUGAAAUGCGUAGAUAUCAAGAGGAACACCUGAGGUGAAGACGGGUUGCUGGGCUGACACUGACGCUGAGGCGCGAAAGCCAGGGGAGCAAACGGGAUUAGAUACCCAAGUAGUCCCUGAGCGGGC